GCAAAGAAUAUUCUCUUGUCUUUAGCCAAAACUGCAGAUGAGCGAAAUGAAGCUAAUGAACUUUUAGGAAAUUUCAAUCACCCGAACAAUGAGCCAGGGAUUAACGGAUUAUCUAUUUCUGUUGAUGAGGAAGAUGAUGACGAUGACGAUGAUGAGGACGAUGAUGAUAACAUCUACCAUGAUGGUGAUGGUGAUGGUGAUGGUGAUGACAAUGAAGAUGAUGCAGAAGAGACCAUUGCUUGUUCUGGAAAGGAAG
RNAcentral lists this long non-coding RNA (256 nucleotides) under Citrus sinensis (sweet orange). RNAcentral describes it as "long non-coding RNA (CSIN_LNC000698)". Lineage: Eukaryota; Viridiplantae; Streptophyta; Magnoliopsida; Sapindales; Rutaceae. The record is from RNAcentral.